Peromyscus maniculatus bairdii (prairie deer mouse) is the source of this 1213-nucleotide non-coding RNA. Lineage: Eukaryota; Metazoa; Chordata; Mammalia; Rodentia; Cricetidae. The record is from RefSeq and is a predicted model, not a curated record.
GAGAGCUCACCCCACACUGCUGGACAAGUUACUGCUCAGCCACACCCCCACCACCCUGAAAGAAGUUGACUUCAUAAUUUCCACACUAAAAUUGUUCAUCUGCCCCAGGAGAGAGCCAGCUAGGCAGGAGGCAGAGACAUCGGGGAUGGGGAAGAUGGGUGGAAAGCAAAGGUCCUGUUUCUUCAAUGGAUCACUGACAACCGCAGUCUCGGCUGGAGGAGAGGUGAGGCUCACACCCAGCAGUCCUGGACCAUUUCCCUAGCAACGGGAGGAGAAAGGCUGCUUAGACACUCGAGAGCCCCAGCGUUCUCCUGGAACGUGCCCCGGCUCCGUAGCGUGGCAGCCACUCGGCAUCUUCCCGUGGCUCCGUCAGCAGCCAAAAGGAGAAGGGUCCAUCGGAAAAAUGGCAUAUUACAAAUUUUGCUUUGGGAAGCAGAGCUCGGUUCAGACCAUUGUCAAAGGGAAGAGAGGGGGAGGCGGUUCUUAAAGCAGCCGCGGCCCCUUUGCCGCCCAGCAGCAGCAGCAGCAGCAGCUCGAGCGUGCAGCGGAGCCCCCGGGGCGGAGAGCUGGUAAUCCGGGACUGGAUCUGACUUUCAGAAACUUAACCUAGCACAACUGCUCCCCGCGGUCUCCCGGGCCACGCAGCGGGUGAAGAAGCAUCCCUUCAAACGCGAACUUCGGGGUGAAGUGUGGGAAGGUACCUCUCUGGAAGGGAAAUUCUCCACCCAGUACCCCACCCGGAGUCACUGUGGAGUUUAUGAUGCUGAAACUCUAAGAUUAGAGUGGACCUUGUGUGUCCACACUCCUGACAAUGUCCACAUGAGACCCUUUGUUGGCGUGAACAAAGUUUCCUGAGAAGAAUCUAUGUCAGCUGAGACCAAUUGAACUGCAGUACUGUGGAGAGGUUGGAAUGCUGAUCCAGAGGCUAAUUACCUUACCUUAUCACUGGGAACAUCUGUUCCCUACCUAUUCUGUCAGAACCAGCAUCCUGUGGAUAAUAGAUAAAACAAUUUUGGUAUCUAUUAACUUAGGAGACUACCAAGUCCCAAACCCAAAAGCUAAGAAUGUCAUUAAAAAGCAUCUUGGGCCUACAGCAAAGCUUCCAUCAUCUGGCUGUAAGCACCUCUCUGCUGUACCCACCAGUGUAUGUAUUUUAAACUUACCCUGAUUUAUGACUUUGUUCUAUGAAACUAUAAAAAUUCAUGAAACUGUU